This 760-nucleotide non-coding RNA is filed under the name Acanthobdella peledina. Lineage: Eukaryota; Metazoa; Annelida; Clitellata; Acanthobdellida. The record is from RNAcentral.
UAGCUUGAUUCUAACUAAUAAAUUAUAAUAACAAUAUAACCUCAUGAAAACCAUCUUAAUAUUAUAUAAUAACUCAAAGUUUUAAAAUUUGAAUAACAUCUUUGUACUAUCAAAUUAACAAUGGAUAACCCUACUAAAUUUGCUAAAGCAAGAAGUGGUAAUUGUUAAUAAGCCGGCUAAAUUCGUGCCAGCAGCCGCGGUUAUACGAUAGGCCAAUUAAUUUUCUCAGUUUUAUUAAGGUAUACUAAAAUUAAUUAUAAGUUAAAUUUUACAUAAUCAGAACCAUAAAUACCUGAAUUAAAUUAUUAACUAAAACAAGGAUUAGAUACCCUUCUAUUAAUAACACUAAAAUUAAACUAGAUAAUACGAACCAUAGUUUAAAAUCUAAAGAAUUUGGCGGUGGCCCACAAAAUCAGGGGAACCUGUUUAUUAAAUCGAUAACCCACGUAAUGAUCCACCUAAAUUUGAACCUCAACAUGUGUACUGCCGUUGAAAAUAUACCUUUAUAGAGAGUAUAUAAAAAAAGAAUACUUCCUACAUCAGGUCAAAGUGCAGUUUAUAUAUUAGGAUUAAAUGGGUUACAAUCUUUAUAUGUUUAUAGAGCCUCUUAUUAAAUUAAUUGGUAAAAUUGGACUUGAUAGUAAUUUAAAUUAACCUAUUUAAAUGAAAAUUACCUGGGCCAUGCACACAUCGCCCGUCACUCCUGCUAUAAAAGAAGGAUAAGUCGUAACAAAGUAGAUAUAAUGGAAAUUGUAUCUGU